RNAcentral lists this RNase P RNA (274 nucleotides) under Mitosporidium daphniae. Its description in RNAcentral is "Nuclear RNase P". It matches the Rfam family "Nuclear RNase P". From Rfam's summary of the family: Ribonuclease P (RNase P) is a ubiquitous endoribonuclease, found in archaea, bacteria and eukarya as well as chloroplasts and mitochondria. Lineage: Eukaryota; Fungi; Microsporidia. The record is from Rfam by way of RNAcentral.
CCAAGCUGAAGCUCUCAAUUGAGGGGCAUAUGUUUUAUGCUCCUCGGGAAGGUCUGAGAUCGCCUGCAAACUUGCCCGAGAGGGCUUCCGCCGAGAGGCGGAACAGGUCAACAGAAAAAAACUCUGCCAGUCGCUAUAGCGGACGACCGGAGAAAUCCGCGACGCUGCUGCUGGCAGUGCUGGAAGCACCUGUGGCAGUAGCUCGAUAGUGCAAUAUGAGAGCUUUUGCAUCGCAAGAUGGAAAAGAACCCAAUUCAGACUACUCUCAGCUUGG